Aegilops tauschii subsp. strangulata is the source of this 1064-nucleotide long non-coding RNA. RefSeq lists it as uncharacterized. Lineage: Eukaryota; Viridiplantae; Streptophyta; Magnoliopsida; Poales; Poaceae. The record is from RefSeq and is a predicted model, not a curated record.
UUGCUCGGUCUGCAUUGUUUUGCAGGCCCAUCUUCUCGGCCCGCACCAUCUGGUUCUUAACGGCCCGUUUCUUCUUGAGCAUUCAGCCCGUUUCUUCUGUGGGCGGCUGAGCCGUGUCGUGCUGAUCGAUGUGCAGGCCCGGGGCCCCAGACUUCCCAUCGCCCCGUGUCCGUCCGUCCGUGCGUGCGUGCGGCCGGCGGCGCCCUGAUCGAUCGGCUGGCGCCACCGCCGGGUGAAGGUGGGGAGGCUGCGCCACCGCUCGGAGCAGCCCGGCCGCCGUGCAGGCCACCAACGACGACGCCGCGGCCAUCAAGAGGGUCACCUGUUUGAACUUCAUAUCAUCUGUGGUGUUAAUGAGUUCGUAUCUGGUCCGGUGCCCAGCGAGGGUGAGGAUGUUCGAGACUACAACCCAUGGACUUUUGGAAAAUAUUAUCACACCCAUAUCAAUUUUCUGGCAAUGUGCAAAGCCCGCCCAUAUGAUCCUCCAACGCUCUUCUUUGCUGAAUGUGGAAAACAUGGUGCUGACAUGUUGGUGUGUCCCCGUGAUUCCGCAGAAACCAGAAGCUAAACAAGUCCGUUGCAUUUACUGCGAGUUUGAAGGAAACCGAAUUGAUCAUCCAGCCGUGGAGAGUUUCUUCGGGCACAAUGAAUUUGAGAAGUUUUAUGAAUCAGGCACAUCUUAUACCAACAAUAAGCUCAUCAUACGUUGUGAAAACGUAGAUUGGGUGCAUGGUGUGGAGGAUGAUGGCAUAUACCACCACUGCUACCCUGAUCCUGAUGAUAUUGAUGACGAAGAACUAUCUAUUUGCUGAGUGUAGCAAGGGGGGUGGCAAAAGUGGCAUGGUAUCUUGUCAUGAUACUUUUCUUUCUUGUGAUGAAUUGUUACAAUGUAGUUCAAACAGACUAUCAUGCUCUUAUUUUGUAUUAUAAACAGUGCCAUCAUACCCUGUUGAACCUUAACGAUGAUCGUCCUCCCAUCACAUGAAACUCUGAAUGCCCAUGUUUGUAAUCAUUGUCAUCCUUCUCCGGCUAUGGAAAAUUAACGUGAUCAAGUGUGUGCUGAA